UUUAUUGAGAGUUUGAUCCUGGCUCAGGACGAACGCUGGCGGCGUGCUUAACACAUGCAAGUCGAGCGAGAGAACUUCCUUCGGGAAGGACUCUAGCGGCGGACGGGUGAGUAACACGUGGGUAACCUGCC
Molecule: non-coding RNA, 131 nt
Filed under: Clostridium chromiireducens
Lineage: Bacteria; Bacillati; Bacillota; Clostridia; Eubacteriales; Clostridiaceae
Description: Clostridium chromoreductans Bacterial small subunit ribosomal RNA
Rfam family: Bacterial small subunit ribosomal RNA
Source: Rfam by way of RNAcentral